GCUAUUUUGACAGAUUAAUGUGAUAAAUUUAGAAUUUAUAAAUAAAUAAUUUAUUAUUUAAAUAGUA
This 67-nucleotide transfer RNA is filed under the name Himalopsyche eos. Its description in RNAcentral is "tRNA-Leu". Lineage: Eukaryota; Metazoa; Arthropoda; Insecta; Trichoptera; Rhyacophilidae. The record is from RNAcentral.